This 126-nucleotide small RNA is filed under the name Marmota monax (woodchuck). The record is from RNAcentral. Lineage: Eukaryota; Metazoa; Chordata; Mammalia; Rodentia; Sciuridae.
GCCGGGUGUGGUGGCUGCACACCUGUAAUCCCAGCAGCUCAGGAGGCUGAGACAGGAGGAUCGUGAGUUCAAAGCCAACCUCAGCAAAAGUGAGGUGCUAAGCAACUCAGUGAUGCCCUGUCUCUA